AAAGGAUUUUUUUCUUUGACCUUAAGUUAUUUGGAAGUGUGUGCUAAAAUAUCCACAUGGGUGGGACUUUUUGUUGUUGAUUAUCAUUUCUAAGUUAAUUGCAUUUGCAUCAGUUAACACAGUCUUUGUAACGUACAUUUUUAAAAAUGUUUUGAGACUUGCUUUAUGACCUAAUAUGUAGUAAAUUUAUAUGCUCGAAAUGAAUGUGUAUUCAACACACACACAUUUAUUUAAUAAGCUUGAUAUCUAUACACACAUACAUGCACAUAUACUUUGUUUUGUCUGCCUGAUCUAUCAUUUAUUUCAAAAGAUGUAUUAGGGGCACCUGGGUGGUUCAGUCAGUUAAGCAUCUGACUUUGGUCAGGUCAUGAUUGCGUGGUUUGUGGGUUUGAGCCCCACAUUGGGAUCUACGAUACAGCUCAGAUCCUGGAGCCUGCUUUGGAUUCUGUGUCUCCCACACACUCUCUGCCCCUUCCCUGCUUGUGCUGUCUGUCUCUCAAACACAAAUAAAUAUACUUUUUUUUUGAAGUAAUAACUUAAUUUUUAAAAUGAACAUAGUAUCAGAAUAGAUAUUUCUCCAAUGAAGACAUACAGAUCACCAGUAAGCGCAUGAAAAGAUGUUUGACAUCACUAGUUAUCAGAAAAAUACGUAUCAAAUCCACGAGAUACUAGUUCACACCACUAGGAUGGCUAGAAUCUAACAACCUGUGUCUUUGGGUUGAAUUACCAUUUUUUUCAUUAACUUGCGCCCCUGUUUUUUUUUUUUUAAUUUACAUCCAAAUUAGUUAGCAUCUAGUGCAACAAUGAUUUCAGGAGUAGAUUCCUUAGUGCCCCUUACCCAUUUAGCCCAUCCCCCUCCCACAACCCCUUCAGUAACUUUCAGUUUGUUCUCCAUAUUUGUGAGUCUCUUCUGUUUUGUCCCCCUCCCUGUUUUUAUAUUAUUUUUGUUUCCCUUCCCUUAUGUUCCUCUGUUUUAUCUCUUAAAGUCCGCAUAUGGUGAAGUCAUAUGUUUUUUGUCUUUCUCUGACUAAUUUCACUUAGCAUCAAAGCCUCCAGUUCCAUCCACGUAGUUGCAAAUGGCAAGAUUUCAUUCUUUUUGAUUGCCGAGGAAUACUCCAUUGUAUAUAUAUACCAACCACAUCUUCUUUAUCCAUUCAUCCAUCAGUGGACAUUUGGGCCCUUUCCAUACUUUGGCUGUUGUCGAUAGUGCUGCUAUAAACAUGGGGUGCAUGUGUCCCUUCAAAACAGCACACCUGUAUCCCGUGGAUAAAUGCCUAGUAGUGCAAUUGCUGGGUCGUAGGGUAGUUCUAUUUUUAGUUUUUUGAGGAAUCUCCAUACUGUUUUCCAGAGUGGCUGCACCAGCUUGCAUUCCCAACAAAUAAAUAUACUUUUAAAACAUGUAUUAAAACUCUUACCCUGAUGUGGAUUUAUCAGUUUCUCCUUACAGUUUUGUCAAGUUUAGCUUUAUAUGUUUUAAAGUUUUUUAGUGUGGGAUAUAUAGAUUUAGAAUAUUGUAUUCUAGGAAACAAAUUAUUAUAGCACUUUUUAAAAUGUUUUUUUAAUGUUUAUUCAUUUUUGAGAGAGAGAGAGAGAGACACAGAAACAGAGCAUGAGUUGGAGAGGGACAGAGAGAGAAGGCAACACAGAAUCUGAAGCAGGUUCCAGGCCCUGAGCUGUCAGCACAGAGCCCAAUGUGGGGCUUGAACUCGCAAACCUCGAGAUCAUGUCCUGAGCCGAAGUUGGAUGCUUAACGCACUGAACCACUCAGGCGCCCCCAUGGCACGUUUUCAAAUCACAUGGUGCCUAUCUUUUAUAAUACUUUUUGUUUUAGUGUUUAUUUUAUCCCAUGUUUUUGUUUUGUUUUUGUUUUUAAGUAGGCUCCAUGCCCAAUGUGGGGCUUGAACUCAUGACCCUGAGAUCAAGAGUCAGAUGCUCUACAGACUGAACCAGCCAGGUGCCCCUCUUUUAUCCCAUGUUAAUAUUUGGCAUAAACUUCUUUUCAUUUAGUAUUUAUUUAGCAUAUUAUUUCCAUCAUUUAACUUUCAGCCUAUCUAUGUAUAAUUUCUUUUCUACUUAUACUUAAAAAAAGGUGGGUUUUUUUUUUUUAUGUUUAUUUUUGAGAGAGAGAGCAUGCAGGCACAAUGGGGGAGGGACAGAGAAAGAGGGAGACACAGAAUCUGAAGCAGGCACCAGGCUUUGGGCUGUCGGCACAGAGCCCAAUAAGGGGCUCAAACCCGUGAACCGUGAGAUCAUGACCUGAGCUGAAGUUGGAUGCUCAACCAACUGAGCCACCCAGGAGCCCCCCUCUACUUAUGCUUUUAAUGAUGCCUGGAUUAGAAGUCAUAAGGCCUCCGUUCUAAUCUUGAUUGUAUCCUGGAGUCUUAGGUUCCUCAUCUUUCAAUUGGGUAUCAAAACACUUGCCUUCCCCAUCCCCCUUCAUCGUGUUGUGAGAAUCAAAUGACAUAAGAUGUGAAAUCACUUUGCAAACUGUGAAGUGUUUUGCAAAUUAUUAUCUUUGUAGCCUUUAAUAGUGAGUGUCCCCAAACGCUUACUUAAAGCUGUAGUGGUUAAGAGCUUAGUUGGUUAGUAGAGCUAUAUACUUUUGCAUUUGUAGAUACUAUUUAUAGGAUGGUUGCAAGAUAUAAAUGUAUUAAAAGUACUAAAUUAGGGGCACCUGGCUGGCUCAGUUGGUAGAGCACAUCACUCUUGAUCUCAGAGUUAGGAGUUCAAGCCCUAUGUUGGGCGUAGAGUUUACUUAAAAAAGGUGCUAAAUUAUUUGGGGCAUCCUAGGUAUUCACUAAUACUAACCCGAGAGGCACCUGAGGUGGCCCAGUCAGUUAAAGGUCUGACUCUUAAUGUCAGCUCAGUCUUGAUCUCACAGUCAUGAGUUCAAGCCCCACAUUGGGCUCAUACUCGGCAUGAAGCCUACUAAAAAAAGUUUUUUUAAAAUUUUUUAAAAUUAAAAAAAAAGUAAAUCAAUGUCUUUAUGAUUAUGAUUAUGCUUAUUGUGUUGCCCUUGCUUGUAUCUGAAUUCUAGCUUCUCAACUUACCAGUAUGUGACCAUUAUAACCUAAGUCUUGGCUUCCUCGUCUUUGAAGUUGCAAUCAUAGUAACUACUUCCUGGAGUUGCUCUGAGAAUGGAGUAAAAUAACGAUGAAAAGAGCUCGGCACAGUGCCUGGCUACCAUGAUCUUGAGCUCCAGGAUCUCUUCUGCUCUUAGAAUUCUCAAUGUUGACACUUUUUGACAUUCCAAAGUACCUCUAACCUCUUACCUGAGCCUGAAGCCCUGAUUUAAAAUGCUAGCGGAGGGGCGCCUGGGUGGCUCAGUUGGUUACGUGUCCAACUCUUGAAUUUGGCUCAGGUCAUGAUCUCAUGGUUUGUGAGAUCAAGCCCCUGCAUUGAUCUCUAUUAGCACAGAGCCUGCUUGUGAUUCUCUCUCUCCCUCUCCCCCACUCGCAUGCACAUGCACUCUCUCUCUCUCAAACAAAUAAACAUUAAAAAAAUAAAAUGCUAGCAGAGUAGGACCACUUGGGUAUCUUAUCAUCAGUUUAGACGUUCUGUCCAAAGCUACAUUGUUCUUCCUUUCUCCCCACCGAAUCAUCUCAGUUUCUUGAGCACCUGAGUGAUGGGCUUAACUUAAGCCCCACCCUUAAGGAGCUAACCGUCCAAUAGAAGGUUGACCCUAAAACAUCCACUAGAAGUGCCAUUGUAGAAAUUCAAACAAGGUGCUACAGAAGAGAUGAGCCCUGUGGGGAAGAGGGUGACCAAGGUGGGCUUCCCAGACCGUGGGAAGCCCAUUUCCACAGUUCCACCGAACAUACCAGAACUGUUGUCUGUCAUUCUCCCAACACGACAGACUUUACUGUAACAGGUUAUGUAACAUUGGACAGCUGUUUUCACCUCAGAACCUCCAAGGAGUGGCUCAGGGAUCCAGGCCCCUUCCAUCUUGUGGUGUCAGUGUGUCUGAAAGCCCUCUAUUAAGCAUCUCCUGUCUCAGAGACAUUUUUACAUCAGCCACUCCUGACCUGUUCCUAGCUUGGAAAGGCCUGGGCCAUGGAGCAAAGGGGAGUCACCUCAGUCGUCCCAUGUGUUUCAUCCCUGCUUGAGGAGACCCUCAAAUUUUUCUGCCAUCUUGUUUACUGUAAUAAUCCUUUCAGCCCCAAAAUUAUUUUGGCACCUAGACCAGUGCUUGGCACAUAGUAAGUAUACAAUAAGUAUCUUUUUUAUUGUUUUUUAAAAUAUUUAUUUAUUUUUGAGAGACAGAGAGAGACAUAGCAGGAGCAGGGGAGGGGCAGAGAGAGGGAGACACAGAAUCUGAAACAGGCUCCAGGCUCUGAGCUGUCAGCCCAGAGCCCGAUGUGGGGCUUGAACUCAUGAAUUAUGAGAUCAUGAUCUGAGCCGAAGUCAGAGGCUUAACCGACUGAGCCAUCCAGGUGCCCCUGUGUUUUUUUUUAAGUAGGCUCUACACCCAAUGUGGGGCUCGAACUCAUGACCCUGAUACCGAGAAUCUCAUGCCCUACUGACCGAGCCAACCAGGCACCCCUACAAUAAGUAUUUUUUAAAUGCCUGAACUUCUCUGGGCUCCAGGAGUUGCUUAGAGGUUAUUUGCAAGGCUAAACUAAACUCAAUGGCUGGGUAGGCUGAUACAAGGGGAGCUUUUGAAUAGGACACAGGGGUGGGAGGAUCUCAUUUUUUUUCUUUCUUUCUUUCUUUCUUUCUUUCUUUCUUUUUUUUUUUUUUUAGAGCUUGUUCAUGGGUCACCUUUAAAUGGUACUGAAGGCAAGUAAAAAUCACCUCAGUGCUCCAGGCUUUCCAGCCCUUUUGCUUCCUCCUGGAGAACCAGAAAGGAAAAGCGAAAGGGCUGAGCAGAGGCCCCAGGGGCCUCAUCUUGGAAGGGAAGAUCUCCUUGUGCCCUCUUAGUACUUGGGGAGCAGUCGGCGUGGCUGGGCACAGGUUCUGAUAGGUUCACACUUUAGGUUGUCCAUGUCUGGGUGAGGGAACUUGGACAAGUUACUUAAUCUUUUUGCGCCGGUUUCCUCCUCUGUAACAUAAAGAUAGUGAUACUGAUCUCUUCUGGUUUUUUAGAUUGAUCAAGUUAAUACAAUAAAAAGCAUAGACCAGUGGCACUAUAUAAUUGUGGAUAUCGUCAUCAUUAGGGACAGAA
This is a long non-coding RNA of Neofelis nebulosa (Clouded leopard), 5164 nucleotides long. RefSeq lists it as uncharacterized. The record is from RefSeq and is a predicted model, not a curated record. The transcript has 2 exons. Lineage: Eukaryota; Metazoa; Chordata; Mammalia; Carnivora; Felidae.